This 711-nucleotide ribosomal RNA is filed under the name uncultured Staphylococcus sp. RNAcentral describes it as "bacterial SSU rRNA". It matches the Rfam family "Bacterial small subunit ribosomal RNA", at positions 74 to 770 of the family's 1533-position model. Lineage: Bacteria; Bacillati; Bacillota; Bacilli; Caryophanales; Staphylococcaceae. The record is from RNAcentral.
AGGAGCUUGCUCCUCUGACGUUAGCGGCGGACGGGUGAGUAACACGUGGAUAACCUACCUAUAAGACUGGGAUAACUUCGGGAAACCGGAGCCAAUACCGGAUAAUAUAUUGAACCGCAUGGUUCAAUAGUGAAAGACGGUUUUGCUGUCACUUAUAGAUGGAUCCGCGCCGCAUUAGCUAGUUGGUAAGGUAACGGCUUACCAAGGCAACGAUGCGUAGCCGACCUGAGAGGGUGAUCGGCCACACUGGAACUGAGACACGGUCCAGACUCCUACGGGAGGCAGCAGUAGGGAAUCUUCCGCAAUGGGCGAAAGCCUGACGGAGCAACGCCGCGUGAGUGAUGAAGGUCUUCGGAUCGUAAAACUCUGUUAUUAGGGAAGAACAAAUGUGUAAGUAACUAUGCACGUCUUGACGGUACCUAAUCAGAAAGCCACGGCUAACUACGUGCCAGCAGCCGCGGUAAUACGUAGGUGGCAAGCGUUAUCCGGAAUUAUUGGGCGUAAAGCGCGCGUAGGCGGUUUUUUAAGUCUGAUGUGAAAGCCCACGGCUCAACCGUGGAGGGUCAUUGGAAACUGGAAAACUUGAGUGCAGAAGAGGAAAGUGGAAUUCCAUGUGUAGCGGUGAAAUGCGCAGAGAUAUGGAGGAACACCAGUGGCGAAGGCGACUUUCUGGUCUGUAACUGACGCUGAUGUGCGAAAGCGUGGGGAUCA